GACGAACGCUGGCGGCGUGCUUAACACAUGCAAGUCGAACGGAAAGGCCCUGCUUUUGUGGGGUGCUCGAGUGGCGAACGGGUGAGUAACACGUGAGUAACCUGCCCUUGACUUUGGGAUAACUUCAGGAAACUGGGGCUAAUACCGGAUAGGAGCUCCUGCUGCAUGGUGGGGGUUGGAAAGUUUCGGCGGUUGGGGAUGGACUCGCAGCUUAUCAGCUUGUUGGUGGGGUAGUGGCUUACCAAGGCUUCGACGGGUAGCCGGCCUGAGAGGGUGACCGGCCACAUUGGGACUGAGAGACGGCCCAGACUCCUACGGGAGGCAGCAGUGGGGAAUAUUGCACAAUGGGCGGAAGCCUGAUGCAGAAACGCCGCGUGCGGGAUGACGGCCUUCGGGUUGUAAACCGCUUUCGCCUGUGACGAAGCGUGAGUGACGGUAAUGGGUAAAGAAGCACCGGCUAACUACGUG
RNAcentral lists this ribosomal RNA (468 nucleotides) under uncultured bacterium. RNAcentral's name for it is "partial 16S ribosomal RNA". It matches the Rfam family "Bacterial small subunit ribosomal RNA", at positions 28 to 507 of the family's 1533-position model. The record is from RNAcentral.